CACGUAGGCACCAAGCGUUGUCCGGAUUUAUUGGGCGUAAAGAGCUCGUAGGCGGUUCGGUAAGUCGGGUGUGAAAACUCUGGGCUCAACCCAGAGCCGCCACCCGAUACUGCUGUGACUUGAGUGCGGUAGGGGAGCGGGGAAUUCCUGGUGUAGCGGUGAAAUGCGUAGAUAUCGGGAGGAACACCAGUGGCGAAGGCGACUACCUGGCCUGUUCUUGACGCUGAGGCGCGAAAGCUAGGGGAGCAAACGGG
Molecule: ribosomal RNA, 254 nt
Filed under: uncultured bacterium
Lineage: Bacteria
Description: partial 16S ribosomal RNA
Rfam family: Bacterial small subunit ribosomal RNA
Source: RNAcentral